Molecule: ribosomal RNA, 583 nt
Filed under: uncultured bacterium
Lineage: Bacteria
Description: bacterial SSU rRNA
Rfam family: Bacterial small subunit ribosomal RNA
Source: RNAcentral
CGGUAAGAGCGGCGGACGGGUGAGUAACGCGUGGGUAACCUACCCUGUACACACGGAUAACAUACCGAAAGGUAUGCUAAUACGGGAUAAUAUAUUUGAGAGGCAUCUCUUAAAUAUCAAAGGUGAGCCAGUACAGGAUGGACCCGCGUCUGAUUAGCUAGUUGGUAAGGUAACGGCUUACCAAGGCGACGAUCAGUAGCCGACCUGAGAGGGUGAUCGGCCACAUUGGAACUGAGACACGGUCCAAACUCCUACGGGAGGCAGCAGUGGGGAAUAUUGCACAAUGGGCGAAAGCCUGAUGCAGCAACGCCGCGUGAGUGAUGAAGGCCUUCGGGUCGUAAAACUCUGUCCUCAAGGAAGAUAAUGACGGUACUUGAGGAGGAAGCCCCGGCUAACUACGUGCCAGCAGCCGCGGUAAUACGUAGGGGGCUAGCGUUAUCCGGAUUUACUGGGCGUAAAGGGUGCGUAGGCGGUCUUUCAAGUCAGGAGUGAAAGGCUACGGCUCAACCGUAGUAAGCUCUUGAAACUGGGAGACUUGAGUGCAGGAGAGGAGAGUGGAAUUCCUAGUGUAGCGGUGAAAUGC